AUGCCAGACUCCUACGGGAGGCAGCAGUGGGGAAUAUUGGGCAAUGGGCGCAAGCCUGACCCAGCAACGCCGCGUGAAGGAAGAAGGCUUUCGGGUUGUAAACUUCUUUUAAGAGGGAAGAGUAGAAGACGGUACCUCUUGAAUAAGCCACGGCUAACUACGUGCCAGCAGCCGCGGUAAUACGUAGGUGGCGAGCGUUGUCCGGAAUUACUGGGUGUAAAGGGAGUGUAGGCGGGAAGGCAAGUCAGAAGUGAAAAUUAUGGGCUCAACCCAUAGCCUGCUUUUGAAACUGUUUUUCUUGAGUGAAGCAGAGGCAAGCGGAAUUCCUAGUGUAGCGGUGAAAUGCGUAGAUAUCAGGAGGAACACCGGCGGCGAAGGCGGCCUGCUGGACCGUAACUGACGUUGAGGCUCGAAAGCGUGGGGAGCAAACAGGAUUAGAUACCCUUGUA
This 449-nucleotide ribosomal RNA is filed under the name uncultured bacterium. RNAcentral describes it as "bacterial SSU rRNA". It matches the Rfam family "Bacterial small subunit ribosomal RNA", at positions 328 to 792 of the family's 1533-position model. The record is from RNAcentral.